GGGGAGUACGGCCGCAAGGUUAAAACUGCAAAGGAAUGGAGGGGGCCUGCACAAGCGGUGGAGCAUGUGGUUUAAUUCGAAGCGACGCGCAGAACCUUACCAGCGUUUGACAUGUCCGGAGGACUGGCAGAGAUGCCUUUUUUCCCUUCGGGGACUGGAACACAGGUGCUGCAUGGCGGUCGUCAGCUCGUGUCGGGAGAUGUUGGGUUAAGUCCCGCAACGAGCGCAACCCUCGCCUUUAGUUACCAUCAUUUGGUUGGGUACUCUAAAGGAACCGCCGGUGAUAAGCCGGAGGAAGGUGGGGAUGACGUCAAGUCCUCAUGGCCCUUGCGCGCUGGGCUACACACGUGCUACAAUGGCGGUGACAGUGGGCAGCAAUCCCGCGAGGGUGAGCUAAUCUCCAAAAGCCGUCUACAGUUCGGAUCGUUCUCUGCAACUCGAGAGCGUGAAGGCGGAAUCGCUAGUACUCGCGGAUCAGCACUCCGCGGUGAAUACGUUCCCAGGCCUUGUACACACCGUUCCGUC
This 525-nucleotide ribosomal RNA is filed under the name Sphingomonas sp. T2-16. RNAcentral's name for it is "bacterial SSU rRNA". It matches the Rfam family "Bacterial small subunit ribosomal RNA", at positions 875 to 1398 of the family's 1533-position model. Lineage: Bacteria; Pseudomonadati; Pseudomonadota; Alphaproteobacteria; Sphingomonadales; Sphingomonadaceae. The record is from RNAcentral.